This 75-nucleotide ribosomal RNA is filed under the name Bacillus spizizenii. Lineage: Bacteria; Bacillati; Bacillota; Bacilli; Caryophanales; Bacillaceae. RNAcentral also lists the same sequence under 1 other name. The record is from RNAcentral.
UUUGGUGGCGAUAGCGAAGAGGUCACACCCGUUCCCAUGCCGAACACGGAAGUUAAGCUCUUCAGCGCCGAUGGU